AUGUUCCGGUUGAUAUUCUUCCUAUUCUCGGUGCAAUUCCUCGCGCUAAAAGUGAUGACCGUGGGAUCAAAUCUUGAAGCAGAAAUAGUCGCGAGGCUGGAAAAGGUCUAUCGAAUCCAGGGAAUUCAACUGAACUUGCCAUUAAGGGCGCAAUCCUCAUCCCGGCGGGAAACUUUUCCCACCCUGAUAUCGACCCAAAUUACCCUGAUUUCGACCCGAACUUGGAAGGAGCUCUGGAGACAAGGGAAUCAGACAAGGGGUGUUGCCUGCUCCUCUACAGCCGCUACAUGAAGGCGAGGGGUCGUGACACGUUCUACCCCACGCUUUCACCGGACCGCGAAACCCUUCCCCUGCCACCCCCGCCGGACGACAUCGUGGAGUACACGGCGAGCGGCGAGCGAGUCCCCUAUUUUCGGACGCAGGUUUAUUUGAAUUGGUAUAAUAACAGAGAGCCAAGACCCAAGAGCAAAGACCUAAAACGAGUAGAGGGGGCUGAGAAAUUCCUGAAGCGAAUCGAACCCUUUUUGCACAUGUGCUGCUGUUGCUGCAUAUCGCAUUGGUGCGAUAGUGUUUGAAUCGGGGUUCUUUUUGUGAACUUGAAUGAAAUCAAAAGAAACAAUGUACAUACCGGUAUGUACUUUAAACCAACAUAUCAAAAAUAAUUAAUUACUAAUCAUUUAAUUAAAAACCCAAGAAAAGGUGGAAACCCAGAUAUUCCUAGACCAUAUAUGCAAAUUACAAUCUUCUCAUUCAAGUUUAUAGAAUGAACCUUAAAUUGAUUGAUAUAGAAAAUACCAUGUUUAGACAAUAUACUAAUUAAUCACCAAAGUAUAAACAUAUAACUUAUAAAAUAAAGAAGACAUAGAUUUAACCUAAUUCUUAUACUACACAGCUGGCUAUGUGCUCCACGGUUCAUUUUGACUAGAUAUAUUUAGAAAUAUUUCCUCUUAGCUCGAGUGCGUAUAAUGUUAGAUACAUUUUAAUGCCAAUUUGACUGGCUUUCAUAGAACAUGGUAAAAUGAUUGAAAAAAUAAUCGAGCCACAAGCCAAAAAUAAAUUAGACAAAUAAUACUUAAAACUACGUAGAGAUGAGAAAUAAUAAAAAACUUACAGGAAACAAAACAAAACAAACGUUUCGACCGACAACAACUGCGGUCUUCUUCAGUGCAACAAGUGGAAACAUUUUACAAAAACAAAUUUAAAAAAAUAUAUAAAGAAGCUACAAAACUGUUGGCAAACUAAGUAAAUAGCGCAAAUAUAUAUCUAAUGCAACUUUUAGAAUACAAUUAAAGCGAAAUUCAAGAGGAAAGAAGAGUGAUAGCAGUGAUAAGAAGGAAGUAUUUUCGCUUUACUUACUUUGCCAAUAGUUUUGUAGAUUUUUUAUAUAUUUUUUAAAUUUGUUUUUGUAAAUAAUGUUUCCGCUUGUUGCACUGAAGAAAACCGAAGUUGUUGUCGGUUGAAACGUUUUAUUUGUUUUGUUUCCUGUAAGUUUUUUAUUAUUUCUCAUCUCUAUGUAGUUUGAGGUAUUAUUUGUUUAAUUUAUUUUGGCUUAUAGCUCGAUUAUUUUUUCAAUCAUUUUACCAUAUAAUGUUAGAUGUUACUUUUAAUUUCUGAUUGAUCUAAUAAAUCAAUAUCAUGUUUUAUUAAAGGCAGUAUUUUAAGAUUAAGCAUUGAUUUUACUUUUAAUUUUUGAUUGAGUGAAAAUAGUGUUACGGAAUAAAUCACACUUGUUAUUUCA
Molecule: long non-coding RNA, 1738 nt
Filed under: Bemisia tabaci
Lineage: Eukaryota; Metazoa; Arthropoda; Insecta; Hemiptera; Aleyrodidae
Description: lncRNA ENSSSA1NGG011591
Source: RNAcentral